UACGUAGGCAGCGAGCGUUGUUCGGAGUUACUGGGCGUAAAGGGUGUGUAGGCGGUUGUUUAAGUUUGGUGUGAAAUCUCCCGGCUCAACUGGGAGGGUGCGCCGAAUACUGAAUGACUUGGAGUGUGGGAGAGGAAAGUGGAAUUCCUGGUGUAGCGGUGAAAUGCGUAGAUAUCAGGAGGAACACCGGUGGUGUAGACGGCUUUCUGGACCGUAACUGACGCUGAGACACGAAAGCGUGGGUAGCAAACAGG
Molecule: ribosomal RNA, 254 nt
Filed under: uncultured bacterium
Lineage: Bacteria
Description: partial 16S ribosomal RNA
Rfam family: Bacterial small subunit ribosomal RNA
Source: RNAcentral